Oncorhynchus tshawytscha (Chinook salmon) is the source of this 674-nucleotide long non-coding RNA. The record is from Ensembl. NCBI's taxonomy places the organism in Eukaryota, Metazoa, Chordata, Actinopteri, Salmoniformes, Salmonidae.
UACAAAACGAACUGGGAAAGAGAGACAGGAAACACAGGGAUGAAUACACUGGGGAAAUCAAGCGACACCUGAAGGGAGUGGAGACAAUAACAGGUGAAACAGAUCAGGAUGUGACAGAGGAAAAAAAUGCAUUUGCAAUUUGGCCCCAGAGUCAGUGAAACGAUUGCUUCAUACCCAUGUAAAUAGAGAUACAGGAUUACAUAAUUGGGAGAAAGAAAUCCAACAUAGGUUUUCUCUUGAUUAAUGCUAUGUUUACUUGCUUUGGGAGUUAGGAGGUGAAAUCACAUUUUUUUGGCAGAAGGAAGUCGUGCAUGAUUGUGGUGAUUGUUCGAUGUGUUUUCUCAAAAAGCCACGGGAUGGAACUGCCUUUUGAACAAUGAAAACAGUUAAGCUGUUUCCAAAACAAAAACUCAGAGAGAGGUAGAGAGAGAGAGAUGGAGAGGUAGAGAGAGAGAGAUGGAGAGGUAGAGAGAGAGAGAUGGAGAGGUAGAGAGAGAGAGAGGGAGAGGUAGAGAGAGAGAUGGAGAGGUAGAGAGAGAGAGACGGAGAGGUAGAGAGGUAGAGAGUUUCCAGCUUGUUCAUAUAUACAAUGUGUAGCCAAACUGCAAGUCACUUGUCUGAACCCCCUUACUACAAGUGCUUGCAGAAUUUAGCUUGAAGGAAAGCCAUAAACC